This 377-nucleotide unclassified non-coding RNA is filed under the name uncultured Sporichthyaceae bacterium. Its description in RNAcentral is "contains 16S-23S intergenic spacer region". The record is from RNAcentral. Lineage: Bacteria; Bacillati; Actinomycetota; Actinomycetes; Sporichthyales; Sporichthyaceae.
UCCGAGUUGACCCCGGCAGUCUCCUAUGAGUCCCCGACAUUACUCGCUGGCAACAUAGGACGAGGGUUGCGCUCGUUGCGGGACUUAACCCAACAUCUCACGACACGAGCUGACGACAACCAUGCACCACCUGUACAGGACCCUUGCGGACCCGACAUCUCUGCCGGAUUUCCCUGUAUGUCAAGCCUUGGUAAGGUUCUUCGCGUUGCGUCGAAUUAAGCCACAUGCUCCGCCGCUUGUGCGGGCCCCCGUCAAUUCCUUUGAGUUUUAGCCUUGCGGCCGUACUCCCCAGGCGGGGCGCUUAAUGCGUUAGCUGCGGCACGGAGAACGUGGAAGGUUCCCCACACCUAGCGCCCAACGUUUACGGCGUGGACUAC